UAAUACAGAGGGUGCGAGCGUUAAUCGGAUUUACUGGGCGUAAAGCGUGCGUAGGCGGCUUAUUAAGUCGGAUGUGAAAUCCCCGAGCUUAACUUGGGAAUUGCAUUCGAUACUGGUGAGCUAGAGUAUGGGAGAGGAUGGUAGAAUUCCAGGUGUAGCGGUGAAAUGCGUAGAGAUCUGGAGGAAUACCGAUGGCGAAGGCAGCCAUCUGGCCUAAUACUGACGCUGAGGUACGAAAGCAUGGGGAGCAAACAGGAUUAGAUACCCUGGUAGUCCAUGCCGUAAACGAUGUCUACUAGCCGUUGGGGCCUUUGAGGCUUUAGUGGCGCAGUUAACGCGAUAAGUAGACCGCCUGGGGAGUACGGUCGCAAGACUAAA
This 378-nucleotide ribosomal RNA is filed under the name uncultured bacterium. Its description in RNAcentral is "bacterial SSU rRNA". It matches the Rfam family "Bacterial small subunit ribosomal RNA", at positions 521 to 898 of the family's 1533-position model. The record is from RNAcentral.